CUUGGUGAUUUGAGCGGCAGGGAUACACCCGGUCCCAUCCCGAACCCGGAAGUUAAGCCUGUCAGCGCCGAUGGUACUUGGAGGGAGACCUCCCGGGAGAGUAGGUCAUUGCCAAGG
Non-coding RNA from Chloroflexi bacterium RBG_16_56_8, 117 nucleotides. Lineage: Bacteria; Bacillati; Chloroflexota. The record is from Rfam.